This 505-nucleotide ribosomal RNA is filed under the name uncultured bacterium. Its description in RNAcentral is "partial 16S ribosomal RNA". The record is from RNAcentral.
GGAGUUAGCCGGUGCUUCUUCUGUGAGUGAUGUCCUUCCUGCCGGUUAUUGACCCGCAGGCCUUCUUCCUCACUGAAAGUGCUUUACAACCCGAAGGCCUUCUUCACACACGCGGCAUGGCUGGAUCAGGGUUGCCCCCAUUGUCCAAUAUUCCCCACUGCUGCCUCCCGUAGGAGUCUGGGCCGUGUCUCAGUCCCAGUGUGGCUGAUCAUCCUCUCAGACCCAGCUACGGAUCGUCGCCUUGGUGAGCCGUUACCUCACCAACCAGCUAAUCCGACAUAGGCUCAUCCGAUAGCGCGAGGCCCGAAGGUCCCCCGCUUUCCCCCGUAGGGCGUAUGCGGUAUUAGCCUGGGUUUCCCCAGGGUUAUCCCCCACUACCGGGCAGAUUCCUAUGCAUUACUCACCCGUCCGCCGCUCGCCACCAGGGAGCAAGCUCCCCGUGCUGCCGCUCGACUUGCAUGUGUAGCUCGCCGCCACGCGUCAUCUGAGCAGAUACAACUACUGA